UGCUUCCUGUUUAAGUCUGGUGGACACUGGGCAGGAGGUGGGCUGGCAGACAGGAGCCCUGCGUCUGAGUUCCAGUUAUGCUGUGGGUUUUCUGGGCAUCCAGGGACAGGGGGUCCUUUCCCUCACUGAUCCCACGGUCAAGGCAACCAGCUGGGAGGACCGACCUGCCCCUGCCCGGAAGUGCUGUGGGGAUUCUCAUGGGGCCCAGCCUCUGGCCUCCCUCUGUCCAGAGGUGCCGCUCAGACACCAGCAGUGGUCCACAGCCGUCAGCAGGGAGGACUGUGUACCUGCAGGGAAAUGGGGGAGACCCAUCUGCAAGGAGGAAGGAAGUGCAGCUUGGGGGCAGCUGAGGAGUUGGAGUUUCCUCCUUGGCAAGAGACUCAAGUACCUGCUGACCCCGAGGGAGCCCAACCACUGGGCCGUGGAGCGGGAGGGGGCUACACCGUCCAGCUCCCGCGUCACCGCGAAUGGCGUGCUCCUGAAGCCCACCCACAUCGUCGUGGAGACCAUGAUGUGAGCCCGCCCGGCCGCAGGGGCUGCCUGCCUGCUGUUUACUAACCUUAGAUUCUCAUAGGACCAGGUUUACAGAGCUUUACAUUUGCACUAGGAUUUUUUUUUUAAUUGUCACAGAAAAUGUUACUCUGUGUGUGUGUGUGUGUGUGUGUGUGUGUGUGUGUGUGUGUGUGUGUGUCUACAGUAUUGUGCGUAUGUGUACUUUGUUCUGAUUUGGGGAUAUUUUGUACAAAAACCAAAACCCUUGGGCAGAUGUCCUGGGUGAGGCAGAGCUUUCAUACUGAAUUAGAUGUAUUUUAUGGGAACUUGGUAAAUUUUUCUUCGUAUUUUUUUUUUACAUAAUAACUAUGUAUACAUUUAGAGAUUGUCAAACACUUUUACCACUUGAAUUGACCUUGCCAGCAAUAGAUCUCAUUUUCAAAAGCAAUUCUUCGGUGCUUGUGUAGCUGGCAGAAAGUUCUGCCCGAGAAAACGCAAGGUGGAAUUUUCCUGGGACGGCAGACCCAUGUUAAAGGUGUAGUACCUUCCAACCUGGCUCGAGGAGAAGCAAACGGCGGGGAGAGGGGCCCGCCGCUGGCCAGACCCAGCGGGGCUGGAGGAGGAGGGCUGGGAGCAGACGCCUCCUUGCGCGGGUCUCGGCCACGAGGAGUGGUGCCCGAGUCAUGACCCAGCCUCAGAUCACAGGGCGGACUGAGCAGGAGGACGCUCCACAGCAGAAUCUGAUGCUGAGAGCCGGGAAACUCUUGCACAAAGAGCAGGAUCCCACCUUUCAUUCUGAGAUGAGGGGCGGGUGGUGAGAGGGACCCUCGGCGGGCUGGCAGAGCCACUCACCCACGAGGAGCGGUGGCGCCCCAGGGGGCUGGUGGGGACAGGCUCCAGCGUCUUCGCAGUCCUACCUGGGGCGUCCCAGGAGGAGGCCUGACCCAGCCCAGCAGGGGCUGGGAUCUGAGGGCUGCCACCUCACCGGGUGGGUCUGCUGCACCCUAAUGGGGUCCCGUCAGGUCCUGGGGCUCCCCAGCUGGCAGCUUGGAGCUGUCUGUGGGAGGGAAGCAUGGCGUAUUUGGUGAAGGCUAAGGGGUGAGCGGGUGAGACCUGGGAUUGGGGCUUUUCUUCCCUCCUCUCUCCACCCUCAUCCCCCGGAGGCUGGGAAACCCCCGCUGGCUCUGGUGGGACACCCCAGACCUCCCAGCCCUGGCCACCUUCGCGUCUUGCGGGAAGUGCCAAGAGUGUCUUUGGAGGGUCGCAGAGGGUUUGUUCCGGGGGAAUUCCCCCCAGGUCGCUCCUCCCCGCUGGGGCCCAAGUGCAGCCCUCGAUGCUGACCUGGGUCAUCAAUCUCCACUGCACAACCGCUGCAGUGGCUGGUGUCGGAUGUGUGGAGACUGGGAGAGUAGAGGGAGCGUGCUCGAAGGCUGGGGUGGCUCCGGGGCUCGGACAACCCCGACCGGCCUGACCGAGAGCCUGGUGCGGGGCGGUGUUCCUCUCUGAGCCAGGGGAAGGUACUCCCCCUUUACAAUCCUGAGUGCGGACAGGCCUCUGCCCCAGCCCCAUCUGGACCGAAACUGUGCCAUGUAAACAGUCACUUCCAAGUUCAGAAUCUAAACAGAAACAUCGUCACAUACAAACCAGAGCGACAGCCUCGGGGGGUGUGGCGGGUGCCAGCCAGCUCAGUCAAGAGCUGAGGCGCUGCUUCCUGGACCCCGCCCCAGGCUCUGGAGGGGGGAGCCUCUGGGGUCCCCGCUCAGGGGGCAGAGGCAGUUCGUCUCUGGCAAGCACUCACAUUCACUGUUUCCAAAGCAUAUUCUCUGCCAAACAACACCCAACCCUAUUCCAAACCGUUAACAAUUAUAAUGUGUUCCUGUUUUUCUAUGUAUUUAUGGUUUCCACUGUGUCUGAUCUGAUUUUAUUGUUGUUUUUUUUUUCUAAUUGUACUGAGUAGCAGUGUGACCUGUUUUCCUUUGUCAUGGAACUUUAUUUAGUAAACUAACCACUGUCAAUGACUGGGAACAGGUGACGUGUGGGGAUGAGGGGGGCUUGGCAAGCUGUAGCUUCCUGGGCAUUUGUGGUCAUUUCAGGCUACAGCAUCUUCCCUCCAGGGAUGCAGACCCCUGGUGAAGGCUAUAGUAUUUCAGGGUUGGCCGGAAAAUUAUGACAUUCUGGAAAUGGCCUGAGAAAGGCCUCUCACUCUAAAAUUCCCAGACCAAAUUCUAGACCAAAGACACAUGUAGACCAAGUCCCCAGGCCCCACCUGGAGGGAAGGUCAGCCGCUUUCCCCAAGCCCAUUCCUCCAGUCUCCCAGGGCACCUGUCUCCAGUCACAGCCUUCUUGUCCAGUCUUCUAGCUCACGUGUAUCCGCAGAACUUGGCUCUAUGAGUACAAUGUGUAAUGACGUGCAGCUUUUACCUAUGUCUCCACAUAAAGGAAACUGUCAUUGGAGCCCAUGGCUCUGGUCCACCUGUCCAGAGAACAGUCCUCCACCUGCUCUGCUUCUGGGGUGGGUUGGAAAUUCUGAUGCCGCAUGUAGUCCAGGCAGCCAGCUAUGGAAGGGAUGGAUGCAAGGGAGAUGUCAACAGAAUUUUUUACGUUGCAAAAAUGAGUGAGGGCCCCAGGAGAGAUCUCACCCAGGGAAAUGCUUCACUCAGCUGAGCACAGACCAUGUUAGUCCCUGCAGCCGAGAAUCCUGCAUGGUCAGAGAUGGGGAGGCCUCCAGGACCUCACUGUAAAGUGGGGACACUGAGGACUGGAACCAGACUGUCUGGAGUCCGUUCAGGUGGCAGGUUCUCCAAGGCGCAUGCGGUGAGUGGUGAGUGCAGCUCCCUGGGGUUCUCCCUGAAGACCAAAGAUGACCCUUUAUGAGAAGGAAACACUUCGUCCCCAGCAUUCAGGGACAAGGUGAGCAGCACCCCCCACCUUCUGACCAUCCUCAGGCCAACUGGACCCCAGGCUGUGACUUGGUGGGACAGGUGACUGGCGUCUGGUAGGAGAGGCAGCACCAUUCAUCCUGGCCCUGCACCGGCAGCCCUCUGAGAGCCAGGCAUUAAGGUCCCACUGCAUGUGAGGAAACGGGACUAACAAAGCCAGGUGGUAUGCAAGAGGUAGAAUCCUUAUGGCAGGAUUUAGCCUGAGGUCCUGUGGAAAAUUCCCAGGCUGCAGGAAGUGGCCUUGGAUGAUUUGGGGACAAUACAGAGCCCCAUUUCUGUACCUCUGUUCCCUUGUUCUCACCCCAGAUCCCCUGCAUACCCCCAGCCAUGGUGGUGAUGAGGUGGUUGACCCCGCUCAUCCUAGCACAGGGUGUUCUUGUCACCUAGCUGCCCCCACACAGUGGUCAGUGGCCCAGCCAGCAUCUCCCAGCACUGCCCCUCUGGAUGGCAAAAGGCCCUGGGCAGCCUGUGUUGAAGGCAGAGGCACCUUCUCCCCAAGCCUCAGACACAGGCCAGGAAAGAAUACUUGAGAAAAACCAUCUCAAGGUAGCUAGAGGUCCCAUCCAGCCCCAGACUCAGUAUCAGGUAGAUAUCCACAUGGAUGCUGUGAAUACCACUGUGCAAAAAUCCAACAAGCACAAAACAAAAAAGCAAACAAAAACCCAGAUAUCAAAACUUGGAGAGGGGUAUGGGCAACACAGAGCCAGGGAACAGCAUUUCUUUGCCCACCUCCCUCCCUCAAUACCUGGCCCUCAGAUUGCAUCUUGUUUUAAUAGGAAGCUGUUUUCAUUGUUCUCUUGUGGGUGUCACUACAGACAUGUUCUGAACACGUUCCCCAAGGGAGGGAGCAUCUUGUUAUAUAUUUGGCUUCAAAUUGAGAUGUUGGUUCCAUUUUUUUUUACCCAAUUAAUUUUCGAAUCCCUAGCAACUGACUGUAUUUAGCACAGGAGAAAGCUGAGAACGUGGGUCUUGCCUCCUUCCAGAAAUAUGUCUGGCUCAUCAGGACAUUUUUUUAAAACUUCAAAAUAUUUUUAAGAUAUUUUAAACUUUUGUAAAAAAAAAAAAAAAAA
This is a non-coding RNA of Manis javanica (Malayan pangolin), 4501 nucleotides long. The record is from RefSeq and is a predicted model, not a curated record. NCBI's taxonomy places the organism in Eukaryota, Metazoa, Chordata, Mammalia, Pholidota, Manidae.